RNAcentral lists this ribosomal RNA (447 nucleotides) under uncultured bacterium. Its description in RNAcentral is "partial 16S ribosomal RNA". It matches the Rfam family "Bacterial small subunit ribosomal RNA", at positions 30 to 523 of the family's 1533-position model. The record is from RNAcentral.
AUUGAACGCUGGCGGCAGGCUUAACACAUGCAAGUCGAACGCCCCGCAAGGGGAGUGGCAGACGGGUGAGUAACACGUGGGAACGUACCCUUUGGUUCGGAAUAACUUGGGGAAACUCAAGCUAAUACCGGAUAAGCCCUUAUGGGGAAAGGUUUACUGCCGAAGGAUCGGCCCGCGUCUGAUUAGCUAGUUGGUGAGGUAAUGGCUCACCAAGGCGACGAUCAGUAGCUGGUCUGAGAGGAUGAUCAGCCACACUGGGACUGAGACACGGCCCAGACUCCUACGGGAGGCAGCAGUGGGGAAUAUUGGACAAUGGGGGCAACCCUGAUCCAGCCAUGCCGCGUGAGUGAUGAAGGCCUUAGGGUUGUAAAGCUCUUUUACCCGGGACGAUAAUGACUGUACCGGGAGAAUAAGCCCCGGCUAACUUCGUGCCAGCAGCCGCCGCCG